This 253-nucleotide ribosomal RNA is filed under the name uncultured bacterium. RNAcentral describes it as "partial 16S ribosomal RNA". It matches the Rfam family "Bacterial small subunit ribosomal RNA", at positions 524 to 776 of the family's 1533-position model. The record is from RNAcentral.
UACGUAGGGUGCGAGCGUUGUCCGGAAUUAUUGGGCGUAAAGAGCUUGUAGGCGGUUUGUCGCGUCUGCUGUGAAAAUCCGGGGCUCAACCCCGGACUUGCAGUGGGUACGGGCAGACUAGAGUGUGGCAGGGGAGACUGGAAUUCCUGGUGUAGCGGUGGAAUGCGCAGAUAUCAGGAGGAACACCGAUGGCGAAGGCAGGUCUCUGGGCCACUACUGACGCUGAGAAGCGAAAGCAUGGGGAGCGAACAGG